GGGAAAAAAAGCGUCGAUAGACGAGAUCCGUGAUGGGUGGGGUGUGGAUCGUCGUCGGUCGGUCUUCCCCCCUGGAGUAGGCCGUUCGUUGCCGUUUCGGCGGUGCGUACGACAACAAACCUUGGGCACAGGGCGUGCCAAGCAGCAUGCGUAGCGCACGCGGGGUCGCGUGCACGAUACCGUUUGUUCUCCUACAAGACUCUCGGCAACGGAUAUCUAGGCCCUUGCAUCGAUGAAGAACGUAGCGAAAUGCGAUACUUGGUGUGAAUUGCAGAAUCCCGUGAAUCAUCGAGUCUUUGAACGCAAGUUGCGCCUGAAGUCGUUAGACCGAUGGCAUGCCUGCCUGGGCGUCAUGAAUCCGGUCGCUCCAAACCACACGUCGGUACGGAAGCGGAGGAUGGCCCUCCACCGGUUGGAGUGGUGGGCUGAAGUACGUUGGCUCGAUUCAGGCGGGGACGCAGCAUGGAUGGUGGAUGGCAAAUCACGGUCCGUCAUCGUUCGAUGCUUGCUUCCCUUGGAUCGCCAACGCGACGACCCUUCGGGACGGGUGGGAUCGCCGUCCGUCCGAUCGCGACCUCAGGUCAGGCAAGAUCACCUGCUGAGUUUAAGCAUAUCAAUAAGCCGGAGGAAA
Molecule: ribosomal RNA, 631 nt
Filed under: Halodule pinifolia
Lineage: Eukaryota; Viridiplantae; Streptophyta; Magnoliopsida; Alismatales; Cymodoceaceae
Description: eukaryotic LSU rRNA
Rfam family: 5.8S ribosomal RNA (bases 198-353)
Source: RNAcentral